AAUCAUCCCUUCCUUGAUCUGGUUGUGGAAGACAUUUCUCUUCUCGAUCAGAUUUGGCGAAUGAAGUCUUUCCUCAGCACUUCAUUUCUUGAUCCAUUUAUGGAAGACACUUCUCUGCAAGUCCAAAAUUGGCAACUGCCACCAUGAUCAGGGGAGUUUCCUUUUUCCUUCUCCUCCCUUUCCUGCUUUUAUUACACUUGUCCUUGAUCUGUUGAUUGUUCUGAUUUCUGAUCUGAUGAUUGUGACACAUUGAGGACACUGUGUCGUUUAAGUGUGGUCUAUUGGGGGAGACUCUGAUUUUUCUUUCUUAGUUUAUGUUUUCUGUGUUAAAUUUUUUGUUUUCUAGGUACUUUUUGUUUCAUCUUGUAUACUGUUUUGCAUGUUUCUCUUGAUUUCUGGACUUGGUUUAGGUUUUAGACUUCUCUUUCACUUCAGUGAUACUCUGAUUUGUUUGAAAUCCUUGCUUUUCUCUGCUUGGAAUAUGAUUAUGAUGCUUGAGAGAGUUGAUUUGAUUGUGACAGAAAUUACCCUGUGUGAGAUUUGAGCCACUUGAUAUUCUUUCUUGUGUGUGAUAUGUCUCUUGAUUGCUUGCACAUAUGCCUUGGCUUGACUCUUGUUGAUGAUUCUUGAUUGAUAUGCAUGUUUGGAAGUGAUAAAGGCAGUUUUGUUGUUGAGCCUCUCUAGCUAGAUGAGCCUACCUUGUUGUGAUCCUUUGAUAGCCCCUUUGAGCCUUUACUUUCCCCAUUUCUUUGUUUUCAAGCUUAUACACUAGCCCUAAGUGAAAAACCAUGCUUGCCUUAACCUUAGGGAAUUUUGGAGAUUUGGAAUUGUUUUGGGAAUAAGUGUGGUCUCCUGGGAGAUUAUGAUGAAUUGGCUAGUUGGUUGCUCUUCUUGCUUUUGUUUUGUAUGAUGAGUAUCUUGUCUCUUACAAUUGUAUUCUAAACAGAGAGAAAAGAAAAUAGACAAGUUGAAAAAAAAAAAAUACAGAAAAAUGAGAAAAUUUUAAAAAAAAUAAAAUAAAAUUGUGUGAAUAAUGGAGUCAAGAAGAGGAUUGAAUUAGAGGGUUUUGGGUGUGAUUUGACUGUGUUUUCACUUGUUCCCCAUUGCUCCUCUAUUCCUUUUGGUUUGUAGUUUCUCAUCCAUAUUAUAUCCUCCCUUUUCCUUGACCCCAUUGCAUCCAUAAAAGACCUUUUGAUUUGAACAUGCAUAUGUUUUGAGUGUUGAUAUUAGAGACUUGCCAAGUCUGUUUGUGUUUGCUUUCUUGAGUGCAUUGAGUUGACAUUUUUUUUACCUUAGACACUUGAGAGGAACACUGAUAGUGUGCAUCUGUGAGGUUCUGUUGCUUUUGAUUCACCUCUUGAACUGAUUGAUCAUUUUGCCAUGCUUGGAAUUGCUUAGAUGAUUUCUCUGAGUAUCUGCUUUCUCUGAUUCUGUGUUGGAUAUUGUCCACUUCUUUUUCCUUGUCCAGAUUUCUUGAGGAUUGUAAUUCUGUUUGUUUGUUUCCUUGUGAGUCUUUGUUUUCUGUG
Molecule: long non-coding RNA, 1526 nt
Filed under: Vigna radiata
Lineage: Eukaryota; Viridiplantae; Streptophyta; Magnoliopsida; Fabales; Fabaceae
Description: long non-coding RNA (VRAD_LNC005310)
Source: RNAcentral